GACGAACGCUGGCGGCGUGCUUAACACAUGCAAGUCGAACGGAAAGGCCCUGCUUUUGUGGGGUGCUCGAGUGGCGAACGGGUGAGUAACACGUGAGUAACCUGCCCUUGACUUUGGGAUAACUUCAGGAAACUGGGGCUAAUACCGGAUAGGAGCUCCUGCUGCAUGGUGGGGGUUGGAAAGUUUCGGCGGUUGGGGAUGGACUCGCGGCGUAUCAGCUUGUUGGUGGGGUGGUGGCUUACCAAGGCUUUGACGGGUAGCCGGCCUGAGAGGGUGACCGGCCACAUUAGGACUGAGAUACGGCCCAGACUCCUACGGGAGGCAGCAGUGGGGAAUAUUGCACAAUGGGCGGAAGCCUGAUGCAGCAACGCCGCGUGCGGGAUGACGGCCUUCGGGUUGUAAACCGCUUUCGCCUGUGACGAAGCGUUAGUGACGGUAAUGGGUAAAGAAGCACCGGCUAACUACGUG
Molecule: ribosomal RNA, 468 nt
Filed under: uncultured bacterium
Lineage: Bacteria
Description: partial 16S ribosomal RNA
Rfam family: Bacterial small subunit ribosomal RNA
Source: RNAcentral